Punica granatum (pomegranate) is the source of this 884-nucleotide non-coding RNA. The record is from RefSeq and is a predicted model, not a curated record. NCBI's taxonomy places the organism in Eukaryota, Viridiplantae, Streptophyta, Magnoliopsida, Myrtales, Lythraceae.
CUUCUCUCCUCCUCCUACUCUCCUGAAGGUUCUUUCUCUCCUCCGUCUCUAGCUGCUGCUUGCUCCUCAUUGUGUGUUGGUCGGUGGCAUCUGAUCCACCGAGCGCACUGGCUGCUUCCGCCUUCUUCUCGGCGGCGUUUCUCUGAUCUGCAACGCAGACGUCGACGCCUUUCGCGCUUCUGAGGAGGAUGAUUGAGCUGCUGCUCAGCUGAAGCGAAAGAGGAUUGAACCUGUUAUGGUUCUAUCCUUAAGUUUGCAGGAUUUCCUUCUCCGAGCUAGAGUUCUGAAGCUUUACCGCCAAGCGCUGAGGAUUGCUCGAAGAGCGCCCGAUCAUGCUCAAGCCGAAUUGAGGCAGACGAUUAGGCGAGAGAUUGAGAAGAACCGGGACUGCAACGAUAAGCAAAGGAUCCGUUUCUUGAUCAGUGACGGGCUGGAGAGGGUGAAAACUCUCGACGAAAUGCUUGACAUGCAAGGCCACUGAAAUGGUGAAAGGAGUUAGAGCACACCCCUUGGUUCGAGAUUUUGUAUCAAUGGCUCAGCAGAACUUCAACUUCCGGAUAUCUCGUUACAUGCCCGGGGCUUGGGCCCAGCCCAGAAGGAACUGUUUAUGAGUUCAAACAUGGGCCCAAGAGAAGCCUAGACCGAGACUAUUGAAACUAGGUCCAUUGCGAAGCCCAUACUCUAUUGCAGCUUGAGGCCCAAGCAUUAGCCCAUAUCCACUCCGAUCGAUCAUACUCGGCUCAGUUUCCCGUUGAAAGUCGAGAACCGAAAGGCAUUUGUAUUCUUAUGCUCAAGUUCACAUAUGGGUUUCAAGAUCAUUUAAGUGAUCACUUGAACGAUAUGCCAAUGACAGAAGGCCUCUAAUGACUCCUGAAAGUUGAGCA